CGAGAGUAUUCCGUCAAUGAAUGAUUAUGAACCCCGCCAGGCCCGGAAGGGAGCAACGGUAAUAAUUUUUUUAUGUGUUGGAUUCUAUUCUCGGUG
Molecule: signal recognition particle RNA, 96 nt
Filed under: Gammaproteobacteria bacterium
Lineage: Bacteria; Pseudomonadati; Pseudomonadota; Gammaproteobacteria
Description: signal recognition particle sRNA small type
Rfam family: Bacterial small signal recognition particle RNA
About the family: The signal recognition particle (SRP) is a universally conserved ribonucleoprotein involved in the co-translational targeting of proteins to membranes. Archaeal SRP consists of a 7S RNA and homologues of the eukaryotic SRP19 and SRP54 proteins. In most bacteria, the SRP consists of a 4.5S RNA and the Ffh protein (a homologue of the eukaryotic SRP54 protein).
Source: RNAcentral